UGAUCACGCCCCAACAGUUUUCGCCUCUAGUGCGUCAGUCGACAACCGGACGGACUACCAUUUAUCACAGAACACAACAAUAAAAAUACAAACGCAAAAACAAAAAUUAUUUUGAACAUUUUAAAAAUGCUUUGACAGAUUGUUGUUGUCGGAAUUUUCGCGUUAAUUUCGCCUCAAUUUUACAAAAAAUUCUUUGUAUAUUUGUGUGAAACUAAAAAUUGUCUUAAGUGUUUAUUUUUAGGGUUUUUAUCCGCAAAAAGAAACGACUGUGCUUUCAUGGUCGGCAGAAGGGAGAGGGAGGAGCUGAGUAGCCUCUCAGGCUAUGAAUCAAAAACAAAAUACGCCAUAACAAAACAAACCCAACAACAACGGCGGCAAAACACAUGCCAAACGAGAGAGGGUCACACACCGAAAGAGUAGCGUGCGAAAGAAUGAUAGCGCUGCAGCGCGCUGGCUACGUUGAAGGGUGGGCGGAAGAGCGGAGUACCGUUGACAGACAGACAACAAAUUUGCUCAUUUGAUCUUCUCUCUCUGUAGCUCACCUUCGGCUGACACUCGCCUCAUCAUUCUCCCAGUUAGGUGUGCUCAUAAGAAGGCAGACGUUUUGCGUGUGCACACAGCUUCUUUGUAAUCUACCAUGCAUACUCCCUGCUCCUGUUUCAUCGGCCUCUGUUGCUGAUUUGCCCUCCUCGUGUUCUCGUACUCCUCUGCUUCGACAACCUUUGUUUUGUUGUUAUGCAAAUGCCAAACUGCAUUUCAAACGACAGCGAAAUGCAUUUUUCGAAAGUGUGAAAUGGAAAUACAAAGCGUAAAUGAAAAUCAUGUGAGGUGCCAAGAGCAGCAACAACAGCAGCAGCAGCAGGCAGCCAACAGCUGUACAGCUCGCAGCAGCAGCACUGCGCACACCUCACCUAAUCAUAUGCAAACGCGUGUUGCCUGUGAUUGUUGCUGCUCCUCUUCUCGUUUAUCUUCAUUGACAGCACAAGAGACUUAAACAGCUGCAAAGCGAUGGGUACAGUGGGCAUCGACAGGAAGGAAUGGGAUUUAAUGGGAUAAUUAAAAAAUCUAUCAGAAAAUACAAUAAUAAAGGAUAAUACAAGGAACUGACUGAAAGAAAAUGGUUGAAGAUUGCUCCAGAAAGCUAUCCAGAAAGGCAACGAUCAAAAACCCAAAACAUGCAUAUGUAAGUACAGUCAUGGGCAUAGGAAUAUGUACUGCCAUUGUGCAUUGUUUCUGCUGUCUACGCACACAAAAAAUCUGAAUGUAUGCGUGAUGAUCUCCGAUAAACAACAACGAAACGAAGUACAUAUAAGCACUCCAUUAAAUAGUUAGUUUACAGCUGUUUUACAGCGAUUUUUAAAGAAAAAAUCAUGUUAGUUCAUAAAUAAAUCAAUUUUCUAUAAGAU
This is a long non-coding RNA of Drosophila miranda, 1406 nucleotides long. RefSeq lists it as uncharacterized. The record is from RefSeq and is a predicted model, not a curated record. NCBI's taxonomy places the organism in Eukaryota, Metazoa, Arthropoda, Insecta, Diptera, Drosophilidae. The transcript has 2 exons.